RNAcentral lists this ribosomal RNA (755 nucleotides) under Leuconostoc sp. BGM20. RNAcentral's name for it is "bacterial SSU rRNA". It matches the Rfam family "Bacterial small subunit ribosomal RNA", at positions 74 to 815 of the family's 1533-position model. The record is from RNAcentral. Lineage: Bacteria; Bacillati; Bacillota; Bacilli; Lactobacillales; Lactobacillaceae.
AGGUGCUUGCACCUUUCAAGUGAGUGGCGAACGGGUGAGUAACACGUGGACAACCUGCCUCAAGGCUGGGGAUAACAUUUGGAAACAGAUGCUAAUACCGAAUAAAACUCAGUGUCGCAUGACACAAAGUUAAAAGGCGCUUUGGCGUCACCUAGAGAUGGAUCCGCGGUGCAUUAGUUAGUUGGUGGGGUAAAGGCCUACCAAGACAAUGAUGCAUAGCCGAGUUGAGAGACUGAUCGGCCACAUUGGGACUGAGACACGGCCCAAACUCCUACGGGAGGCUGCAGUAGGGAAUCUUCCACAAUGGGCGAAAGCCUGAUGGAGCAACGCCGCGUGUGUGAUGAAGGCUUUCGGGUCGUAAAGCACUGUUGUAUGGGAAGAACAGCUAGAAUAGGGAAUGAUUUUAGUUUGACGGUACCAUACCAGAAAGGGACGGCUAAAUACGUGCCAGCAGCCGCGGUAAUACGUAUGUCCCGAGCGUUAUCCGGAUUUAUUGGGCGUAAAGCGAGCGCAGACGGUUAAUUAAGUCUGAUGUGAAAGCCCGGAGCUCAACUCCGGAAUGGCAUUGGAAACUGGUUAACUUGAGUGCAGUAGAGGUAAGUGGAACUCCAUGUGUAGCGGUGGAAUGCGUAGAUAUAUGGAAGAACACCAGUGGCGAAGGCGGCUUACUGGACUGUAACUGACGUUGAGGCUCGAAAGUGUGGGUAGCAAACAGGAUUAGAUACCCUGGUAGUCCACACCGUAAACGAUGAACA